This 831-nucleotide ribosomal RNA is filed under the name uncultured Alphaproteobacteria bacterium. RNAcentral's name for it is "bacterial SSU rRNA". It matches the Rfam family "Bacterial small subunit ribosomal RNA", at positions 391 to 1240 of the family's 1533-position model. Lineage: Bacteria; Pseudomonadati; Pseudomonadota; Alphaproteobacteria. The record is from RNAcentral.
GCGAUGCCGCGUGAGUGAAGAAGGCCCUUGGGUUGUAAAGCUCUUUCGUCGGGGAAGAAAAUGACUGUACCCGAAUAAGAAGGUCCGGCUAACUUCGUGCCAGCAGCCGCGGUAAUACGAAGGGACCUAGCGUAGUUCGGAAUUACUGGGCUUAAAGAGUUCGUAGGUGGUUGAAAAAGUUGGUGGUGAAAUCCCAGAGCUUAACUCUGGAACUGCCAUCAAAACUUUUCAGCUAGAGUAUGAUAGAGGAAAGCAGAAUUUCUAGUGUAGAGGUGAAAUUCGUAGAUAUUAGAAAGAAUACCAAUUGCGAAGGCAGCUUUCUGGAUCAUUACUGACGCUGAGGAACGAAAGCAUGGGUAGCGAAGAGGAUUAGAUACCCUCGUAGUCCAUGCCGUAAACGAUGUGUGUUAGACGUUGGAAAUUUAUUUUCAGUGUCGCAGUGAAAGCGAUAAACACACCGCCUGGGGAGUACGACCGCAAGGUUAAAACUCAAAUGAAUUGACGGGGACCCGCACAAGUAGUGGAGCAUGUGGUUUAAUUCGAAGAUACGCGCAGAACCUUACCAACACUUGACAUGUUCGUCGCGACUCUAAGAGAUUAGAGUUUUCGGUUCGGCCGGACGAAACACAGGUGCUGCAUGGCUGUCGUCAGCUCGUGUCGUGAGAUGUUGGGUUAAGUCCCGCAACGAGCGCAACCCUCACUUUUAGUUGCCAUCAUUAAGUUGGGCACUCUGAAAGAACUGCCAGUGAUAAGCUGGAGGAAGGUGGGGAUGACGUCNAGUCCUCAUGGCCCUCACGUGUUGGGCUACACACGUGCUACAAUGGUAUCUAC